Molecule: ribosomal RNA, 465 nt
Filed under: uncultured bacterium
Lineage: Bacteria
Description: partial 16S ribosomal RNA
Rfam family: Bacterial small subunit ribosomal RNA
Source: RNAcentral
GUUGAACGCUGGCGGCGUGCUUAACACAUGCAAGUCGAACGAUGAAGCCCAGCUUGCUGGGUGGAUUAGCGGCGAACGGGUGAGUAAUACCUGAGAAACUUGCCCUUGGUUCUAGGAUAAGUCCGGGAAACUGGGCUUAAUACUGGAACGGAAUGUCUACCGCAUGGGGGGAGCUUGAAAGAAUGGGGGUUAUGGAUGGACUCGCGGCCUAUCAGCUUGUUGGUGAGGAAAUGGCUCACCAAGGCGACGACGGGUACUCGGCUUGAGAGGGUGACCGGCCACACUGGGACUGAGACACGGCCCAGACUCCUACGGUAGGCAGCAGUGGGGAAUAUUGCACAAUGGUCGAAAGCCUGAUGCAGCGACGCCGCGUGAGGGAUGACGGCCUUCGGGUUGUAAACCUCUGUCAGUAGGGAAGAAGCGAAAGUGACGGUACCUGCAGAAGAAGCACCGGCUAACUACGUG